GACGAACGCUGGCGGCGUGCUUAACACAUACAAGUCGAACGGUAAGGCCCUUCGGGGUACACGAGUGGCGAACGGGUGAGUAACACGUGGGUGAUCUGCCCUGCACUUCGGGAUAAGCCUGGGAAACUGGGUCUAAUACCGGAUAGGACCACUGCCUGCAUGGGUGGUGGUGGAAAGCUUUUGCGGUGUGGGAUGGGCCCGCGGCCUAUCAGCUUGUUGGUGGGGUGAUGGCCUACCAAGGCGACGACGGGUAGCCGGCCUGAGAGGGUGACCGGCGACACUGGGACUGAGAUACGGCCCAGACUCCUACGGGAGGCAGCAGUGGGGAAUAUUGCACAAUGGGCGCAAGCCUGAUGCAGCGACGCCGCGUGAGGGAUGACGGCCUUCGGGUUGUAAACCUCUUUCAGCACCGACGAAGCGCAAGUGACGGUAGGUGCAGAAGAAGGACCGGCCAACUACGUGCCAGCAGCCGCCGUAA
Molecule: ribosomal RNA, 478 nt
Filed under: uncultured bacterium
Lineage: Bacteria
Description: partial 16S ribosomal RNA
Rfam family: Bacterial small subunit ribosomal RNA
Source: RNAcentral